RNAcentral lists this ribosomal RNA (492 nucleotides) under uncultured bacterium. Its description in RNAcentral is "bacterial SSU rRNA". It matches the Rfam family "Bacterial small subunit ribosomal RNA", at positions 10 to 507 of the family's 1533-position model. The record is from RNAcentral.
AGUUUGAUCAUGGCUCAGGAUGAACGCUAGCGGCAGGCCUAAUACAUGCAAGUCAAGGGGCCAGCAAUGGCACCGGCGGACGGGUGCGUAACGCGUACACAACGUACCUCUGACGAGGGGGAUAGCAUUGGGAAACUGGUGGUAAUACCCCAUAGUAUUGCUGGGAGGCAUUUCUCGGCGAUUAAAGUUACGGCGGUCAGAGAUCGGUGUGCGUCCGAUUAGCUAGUUGGCGGGGUAACGGCCCACCAAGGCGACGAUCGGUAGGGGGUGUGAGAGCAUGACCCCCCACAUGGGUACUGAGACACGGACCCAACUCCUACGGGAGGCAGCAGUGGGGAAUUUUGGACAAUGGGCGCAAGCCUGAUCCAGCCAUUCCGCGUGCAGGAUGAAGGCCUUCGGGUUGUAAACUGCUUUUGUACGGAACGAAACGGUCUGCCCUAAUACGGCGGGCUAAUGACGGUACCGUAAGAAUAAGCACUGGCUAACUACGUG